UUUAUCAAAUCUAGACUAUUUUUCAAACUAUACUGAGGAUUGAAUAACGGAUUUGUUUUUUAUUAUUACAUUAAGUUUUUUGGCAAGGUCGUACGUCGGGGUACUGAUAUAAGAAACUACUGGACGGACAGGAUUAUUUUCUUCGUGAAUUUUAGGUAAACCGUAUAAGAUGGGAGGUCGCGGGUUCAUGGGAACUACGUAUUUUAAUUUACUUGGAGAAAUAAAUGACGAAUUUUUAACGGACUCUUUUAAUUCUGAAGUAAAGUUUUUAGUGGGGUCCGAGUUCAGACGUUCAAAAUCGUCGGUUUGCUAAAAAUUAAUUUAGAAUAACAAUGCAAUUACCUUUAUCGGCUUUUGAAAUGACUAAAUUUUCUUGAUUUAAUCUAUUUUGUAAAGAAGUAAAAACAUGUUUAUCUGAAGUGUUUUGGUUUUAAGUGGUACACGAUGGUUUUUUCAAAAGGGUCGAAAUUUGAUAUCUAACGGCCAUAUCUUGUUGACUUCUAACACACGCCACUUCUGAAUCUACUGCCAAUGUAUCAAGGGUUUUUUGGUUAAGACCCGGUCUGAUAUUGUAUUUAAGGCCUUUUUGUAGUAAUUUCAGGGGGAGAAAGUUGUGUUUUGUGCAUCAUCGUGAUAGCAGUUAUUGUUUUGACUAUCCCGUAAUAGCUGUGCCAAUUUUCUAGACUGUAUUUGAUAUUUUUCUUGUACGAGUCUAUUGGCUAAUACCCGCGCUUUAUUGUCUAAAAUGUCAAACUCGAUGUUAUGUAAUUUGAAUGUCAAUUCGGAAUAUAACACUCUCAAGUGAAGCUUGAGAUUGUCUCUAACUGAAAACCAAUAUCGGCACUCUUCGUUUAACCAUAUUUGUUUACAUUUAUUUACGGCUAUAGUACUUGCGCGUGAAUGUGUUUUAGAUCGGAUGUUGAUGUAAUUAGGGAUGACUUUUAGAUGUUUACACUGUUGAUUGAACCAAACGUUUUGGGCUGCCAGACGCUGAAGCUUGGUUAACUUGAUGUAAUGCCAGGGAAAAAAGAACUCAAUUUACAAAUUAUUUUGGAACGAAGGAAAAGUACCAUGGCAAAAUCAUAUGAUACAUUGAUAAAUAAGUGUGUUUUAAUAAAUAAUAUGCUACUAAAAUAAAAAUAAAUAAAAAUCUUUAAAUACAUACGUGUGUAUUACGCUUCACCAUCACAUUUUUAAUAAAUGAAUUGAAUUCGGCGAACCAUUUCACUUUGGGUUGGUAAACAUUGCCACUAGCACCAGAUGUGGAUGACUUCUUAAUCUUGUCUAGUUCAAGGUAGUAUGUCGAACGAAUACUUUUUAUUUGGUUUUUCACAUCUUCCAAUGUGAAUCCUUCAAUUUCCAUACCAAUGCACAGAUUUUGCAAAGCAAUUUGGCGCAUAGCUUUGUUUUUAUAAUGUUCUGAUGUUAUAUCCCAUAAACACGGAUUUUCUCUGUAUAUAGUGACAAACUUUACAGUUUCGUCUUCAGAUAACUUCUUCACCAUUGUUAAAUCUAUUUUCUUCGCAAAAAAAGUCCCUUAAAACAACCAACACGUGUGUACUUCGUCAGCACUGGAAUGGCACUGGAUUGGCCGUCUACAUUAUUCCAGUUGCACUGGAUUGAUCGCACUGGAUUCAAAAGUAGACCGCGAAUCCAGUUACUGGACUGGAAUGCUUACUGGAUUCAGUUCAUUCCAGUGCCGGUUUACAUUUUUCCAGUAAGCAAUCCAGCACUGGACUGGAUCGCUGGACUGGAAUAAUGUAAACCAGCCAUAAUAUUUUAUUAUGUUAUAAUUUUUCUUUAAAACUGUGUUAUUACGUAAUCAUAAUGAGUAAAAGCACGAUAAUAGUGUUAUAAUGUAAUUAAAAUUUGUGACAAUCUCAAUACUCCAUAUGCAUUUAAGUGAAGUCAUUAAAAAAUUACUUCUUAAAUAAAUAACUUACUCUCUUCUAAAAUCAACAUAUUUCUACCAGAAGUAAUAAACUAGCCAUAAACAGUAUAAAAUCCUAAGUUUUAACAGACUUUAAAAUAAAUAUUCUUAACUUUUAUUUUAAGUUAUUCUAAAUAACCGCCUCUUACACGCGCGUUAGCGUCGACCGUUGACCAGCCUCGGCGGAAACCGAACUGCCGAAUACUCAGCCCCGGCCCGACCUGUUCGAGGUGGUCGACGCGCGGAAAUAAUCCGCUCGAAGAGCUUGCUCACCUCGUCGAGCAACACUAUGGGCCGGUACGCCGACGGCGAGUUCACCGGGUGACCCUCCUUGCGCAGCAACACGAGCCUGCCGAUCUUCCACUUCUUCGGAAAGCGACCAAGCCGCAUACACGAGUCGAAGAGUUCGAGCACUCUCGGCCUGAGGGCCUCCAAGGCGAGCACCCACACCCUACCGGGUACCCCGUCGGGGCCCGGUGCGGUGCUCUUAGCGCAGAGCCGCUGGACCGCGGCUUCCAGCUCCUCUUGGGACACCUCGAGUAUCGAGGCGUCCGGGCACUCCGACGCUGCAGCCGCCAUAGGCGGAGGCGACGAGUCAGCCCUCUCUGGAAAGAGAGUGGCGAUGAAGUUUGCAACAAACUCAGGUUGGAGACUUUGGGUCAGAGGAGGGGCCCAGGGCAAAGCUGAUCACGCACCGUCUUGUAGGACGCCCCCAGGGAUCUCUAUUCAGAGUUUCCAACCACUCUCCCCACGACUCGAACUUUGCCUCAGCUAUGGCGAUCUGCAAUGUAGUGCAUCUCCCCCUGUACGCGGCGUAUAGGCGGCUUUCCUCGGCAUCCACCCGUCUUCGCCGCCUUCUGUAGUGAGUGUACUGGCGUCUGGCUGAAACGCACGUUUCAUGGAGACGGCGUAGGUUCGCCGACCACCAGUACACCCAUCUGCGGGACGGGAGCAGAUUGGCGCGGGACAUGCCGGCGUCGCACACCUGCAUCAUCGACUCGCUCAACGGCUCCGCUCGCCGGUCCACAUCAGCCGCCGGCCCCUCUGGCGCCAGCUGCCAAGCCUGGACGAUGGACGCCUCGACGAUGACGUCACCGUCCAUGGUCUUGAGAGCCCAACGCGGUCCGUCCCCGUGUGGGGGUCGGUAAUGUGAAGCUCCAGGAUUAGCGGUGACCUCGAACCGGAUGUACCGAUGGUCCGACAGCGUCUCCGCCUCCCCGAGCACCCUCCAGUUUCGGACACGGCGCGCAAGACACGGUGUUGCCAACGUGAGGUCCACGAUGGAUCCCCCAUUGUGCCGCACACACAUGUCUACCGACCCCCGGUUCAGAAGAACUAAACCCGACGUGGCAGCCCACUCCUCCAAUACCUCACCCCGCGCAUCGGUAAUCGGGGAACCCCAGGCCGUUGACUUAUGGGGGGUUCACACGGGUCGAUUUUCGCCGUGCAGCGAGUCGCUUCACUAAUUGCCUCACCAAGCCGCAUCGCUAGCCCAUUUACACUGGUUACUAAAAUCGCAUGCGGCUCUGUCAUUUCCAUCGAAAAUGUUGAGCAGAAUAGCCGUUUGUGCCGGAAUUGAAAUAAUUAAUUAUUCAAUUAUUCAACAAUUGCUUAAAGAACAAAGAGUGAAGAAAAACCAAAAGGAAAGAAGAAAACGUUUUGUUUGGGUACGUGAUGGAUUUCUCGACGUAAGGACUUGGGUGCUUCGGAUACUUUAUUGGUUCAGUGGAGUUUAGAAGAUCCUGAUUAUUUUAAAAAACGAUUAAUAAUGACUACUGAUCAGUUUAAUACUUUACUACAUAAGGUUACUCCGCUUAUACAAAAAUGCGAUACCAAUAUGCGAGUAGCACUUUCUCCGAAAAUGAAAUUAAAAAUAACCCUGAAGUUCUUGGCUACCGGUGAUAACUAUUCAAGUCUUGCAGAGUCAUUUAGAGUUCCAGAAUGCACAAUUUCCUUGUUUUUGAAGGAUGUUUUGGAUGCUAUAUACAAUGUUUUACGGGAGUUCAUUAUGGUGCCAUCCACCACAGAUCAAUGGAAGAAAAUACAAAAGGAUUUUUUAGAUCGCUGGAAAUAUCCUUUUCGUUGUGGGGCUAUUGACGGGAAACACGUAUUAAUCGAAAAUCCACCACACGGAGCAUCAGACUAUUAUAAUUACAAAGGCACUUAUAGUGUGGUGUUGUUUGCUAUAGUGGAUGCACAUUACCGUUUCAUAUAUAUAGAUUUCGGAACUAAUGGACGCAUGAAUGAUUCGCAAAUUUGGAAAAAAACAAAGUUCUAUAGUGCUCUUGAAAGAAAUAAUUUAAAACUACCUAAUAAAGCAGUUUUCGUUGGUGAUGAUGCUUUCCCUUUGGCAACCUAUUUAAUGAAACCGUAUUCAAGACAUGAAGGUUUGGAACACAAACAAAAAAUCUUUAAUUACAGACUAUCAAGAGCACCCGAAUCGUAGAGAAUGCCUUUGGCAUAAUGGCUUCACGAUUCAGAGUAUACAGAAAAUAUCUGUUUCAUUGGAUAAAACUGAUUCUAUUAUUAAAGCGACCUGUGCGCUGCAUAACUGGCUUCGGACUAAUCUCAUAUACAUGAAUACUCCCGAAUUAGUAGACGGAGAAGACUUAAGUUCAGGGACAAUCAGAAACGGAAGUUGGAGAAGCAUUCCUACGGCAGGAGUAGACGAAUUAAUGACACCGCUAUCUUCUAACAACUAUUCACGAAAUGCAAAAGAUCUGCGCGAUAGAUAUGCUGACUAUUUUGUCGGACCAGGAAAAGUUUCAUGGCAAGAUAGAAUGAUUGCGUAAAUAUUGUAUGUUUAUUUAAGUAAUAUUAUAAAAAUGGCUCUGUUCACGAUUUACCUAUUAUAAUUUAUAAUAUGCGAACAAGAAUAACUAUUUAAUAAAUAAUUAUAAGACUUA
Leptidea sinapis is the source of this 4836-nucleotide long non-coding RNA. RefSeq lists it as uncharacterized. Lineage: Eukaryota; Metazoa; Arthropoda; Insecta; Lepidoptera; Pieridae. The record is from RefSeq and is a predicted model, not a curated record. The transcript is spliced from 2 exons.